CCUAACUCAAAAACCUCCCCGAAGGUUGUUCAUUAGCUUCUCUGAAGCUAACACAAGAAAGAGCCGCCAUUUUUGCUCUUGCAGCUCAAUUAAUUACCAACCAUGCCAAAGUCCAAGCGUAACAGAGCAGUUUCGCUGACAAAAACCAAGAAGAAAGGGAGAGAACACAAGGAGACGAUAGUGAAUUCGAUAAGGGAAGCGGUGGAAAACU
RNAcentral lists this unclassified non-coding RNA (211 nucleotides) under Hevea brasiliensis (rubber tree). Lineage: Eukaryota; Viridiplantae; Streptophyta; Magnoliopsida; Malpighiales; Euphorbiaceae. The record is from RNAcentral.